Molecule: ribosomal RNA, 253 nt
Filed under: uncultured bacterium
Lineage: Bacteria
Description: partial 16S ribosomal RNA
Rfam family: Bacterial small subunit ribosomal RNA
Source: RNAcentral
UACGAAGGGGGCGAGCGUUGUUCGGAAUUACUGGGCGUAAAGGGCGCGUAGGCGGCCCUUCAAGCCAGGCGUGAAAGCCCCGGGCUCAACCUGGGAAUUGCGCUUGGGACUGAGGGGCUUGAGACCGGGAGAGGUGAGUGGAAUUCCCAGUGGAGAGGUGAAAUUCGUAGAGAUUGGGAAGAACACCGGUGGCGAAGGCGGCUCACUGGACCGGUUCUGACGCUGAGGCGCGAAAGCGUGGGGAGCAAUCAGG